This 253-nucleotide ribosomal RNA is filed under the name uncultured bacterium. RNAcentral describes it as "partial 16S ribosomal RNA". It matches the Rfam family "Bacterial small subunit ribosomal RNA", at positions 524 to 776 of the family's 1533-position model. The record is from RNAcentral.
UACGAAGGGGGCUAGCGUUGCUCGGAAUUACUGGGCGUAAAGGGCGCGUAGGCGGACAGUUUAGUCAGAGGUGAAAGCCCAGGGCUUAACCCUGGAAUUGCCUUUAAGACUGCAUCGCUAGAAUCGUGGAGAGGUGAGUGGAAUUCCGAGUGUAGAGGUGAAAUUCGUAGAUAUUCGGAAGAACACCAGUGGCGAAGGCGACUCACUGGACACGUAUUGACGCUGAGGUGCGAAAGCGUGGGGAGCAAACAGG